GCAAAGAGGAGCAUCAGAAUAAGACGUGGGCCAUCACAGGAGCAAAUGAAACACUGGGUUCCUGUCAGUGAAUAGGGCGGCUGCCAGCCUUACAAGACCCAGGGGACAGGCUUCCUGAAGAGGACUUUUUCAAUCCCCAUCAUCCUCAGGUAUUUGGAAUGUUAACUCCGUUCCACUCCAAUUUCCUUUCACGGAAGCCCUAGCUGUCACACGCAGCUGAAAAGAUACCCUAAGACAACUGAAAGUUUCUGGCGGAGGCUACACCUCAAUGUUACCUGAAGGCCCUGGACUAACUCCAGUUCCCAACGGCCUGUGAGGGCGUUGGCACCAGAAAUUCCAGCAUUUCCUACUGCAUUUUCCUCCUUUCUUUUCAUGGCUGUCAUAUCUUCUAUUGCUUCUUUGUAUACAAUGUUACAGCAUUUUUACAAGCUGUGGAUACAUUCUUGUUGGGUAAACUCAGUAGGUGUUACAGUAAUCAGGAAUGUAAUUCAAAUAGGUACUGUUUAUGUGAUUUCCUAGAAAUGUUAAAGGGGAAUUUAACAUUUCUGUCUAAAUUUGCACCCUGAGAUCAAUAAACCAAUUAGAAGACUGACAAACAGAAAAUCUCACAACUGCUAGAUCUUCUUAUGGCUACAUAGUCACAUAUAUAUUAUGCAUGUGAUAUCUAUAAAAAAA
This is a long non-coding RNA of Sapajus apella (tufted capuchin), 675 nucleotides long. RefSeq lists it as uncharacterized. NCBI's taxonomy places the organism in Eukaryota, Metazoa, Chordata, Mammalia, Primates, Cebidae. The record is from RefSeq and is a predicted model, not a curated record. The transcript is spliced from 2 exons.